RNAcentral lists this long non-coding RNA (843 nucleotides) under Ananas comosus (pineapple). RNAcentral describes it as "long non-coding RNA (ACOM_LNC038942)". The record is from RNAcentral. Lineage: Eukaryota; Viridiplantae; Streptophyta; Magnoliopsida; Poales; Bromeliaceae.
UUCUAUAUAUAUAUAUAUAUAUAUAUAGUGGGCUGGUAUGCUUUUGAAAGCACGGAGCCCUCCGUGCUUCCAAGUUGUUUUUGAUGUUCGGACUUUCGAAUCGACGAUCGGCCCCGUUAGAGUUGAUCUAGAGUACUUGAAGUACCGAGAAAAUAUAUUCAAAUCACAUGAAAUUUUGAUAGAAAAAUUUUUAUACCAUAUAAAACAAGAUCAAUAACUUUGAUCUAAAAUUUUAAUGUCAUAUCAUCAUAUUUUGUAAGAUUUUUAUUUUCAGCCAUUGAUUUUGAGCCACUUCGAUCACUAGGUAAAUGAUAUCAAAAAAUCGUAAAAUUUAUUUUCUAAAUAUUUUAAAUACUCUAGAUCAAGUCUAAUGGAGCCGAUCGUCGAUUCGAAAGUCCGAACAUCAAAAACAACUUGGAAGCACGGAGCGCUCCGUGCUUCCAAAAGCAUACGAGACGCACUAUAUAUAUAUAUAUAUAUAUAUAUAGAGAGAGAGAGAGAGAGAGAGAGAGAGAGAGAGAGAGUUGAGCUAGAAUACUCCUAAAAGCACCAUGGGAGUGAUGCUUUUGAGUUUUUAGCCAUUGGAUGGAGAGAUGUAGGGUUGAGAUGAUAGUAGUAGGUGGUGGUAGGUGGAAUAGUGUUUAAUCCAAGGACUAUUAGUAAUCAAGGAGUAAAUUCAAGGACUAGAAACUUAGAAGUACCAAGGGGUUGGUGCUUCUAAAAGUAUUAUAGCUCAAUUCUAUAUAUAUAUAUAUAUAUGGUAGGGCUGACCUUUAUAGUGCUUUUGAGAGUAUUCUAGCUCAACUCUCUCUCUCUCUCUCUCUCUCUCUCUAUAUAUAUAUG